RNAcentral lists this ribosomal RNA (963 nucleotides) under uncultured bacterium. Its description in RNAcentral is "bacterial SSU rRNA". It matches the Rfam family "Bacterial small subunit ribosomal RNA", at positions 523 to 1501 of the family's 1533-position model. The record is from RNAcentral.
UUACGGAGGAUGCAAGNGUUAUCNGGAUUCAUUGGGUUUAAAGGGUGCGCAGGCGGAUUGGUAAGUCAGGGGUGAAAUCCCACAGCUCAACUGUGGAACUGCCUUUGAUACUGUCAGUCUAGAGUAUAGUUGAAGUUGGCGGAAUGUGUCAUGUAGCGGUGAAAUGCUUAGAUAUGACACAGAACACCGAUCGCGAAGGCAGCUAGCUAAGCUAUAACUGACGCUCAUGCACGAAAGCGUGGGGAUCAAACAGGAUUAGAUACCCUGGUAGUCCACGCUGUAAACGAUGAUUACUCGAUGUUGGCGAUACACAGUCAGCGUCUGAGCGAAAGCAAUAAGUAAUCCACCUGGGGAGUACGAUCGCAAGAUUGAAACUCAAAGGAAUUGACGGGGGCCCGCACAAGCGGAGGAGCAUGUGGUUUAAUUCGAUGAUACGCGAGGAACCUUACCUGGGCUCGAACGUAAGAUGACUGUAGGUGAAAGCUUACCUCUUCGGAGCAUUUUACGAGGUGCUGCAUGGUUGUCGUCAGCUCGUGCCGUGAGGUGUCGGGUUAAGUCCCAUAACGAGCGCAACCCCUACCUUUAGUUGCCAUCAGGUCAUGCUGGGGACUCUAAAGGAACUGCCUACGCAAGUAGUGAGGAAGGCGGGGAUGACGUCAAAUCAGCACGGCCCUUACGUCCAGGGCUACACACGUGCUACAAUGGCCGAUACAGAGGGCAGCUACCUGGUGACAGGAUGCAAAUCUCCAAAGUCGGUCUCAGUUCGGAUCGGAGUCUGCAACCCGACUCCGUGAAGUUGGAUUCGCUAGUAAUCGCGCAUCAGCCAUGGCGCGGUGAAUACGUUCCCGGGCCUUGUACACACCGCCCGUCAAGCCAUGGAAGCUGGGGGGACCUAAAGUCGAUAACCGAAGGAGUCGCCUAGGGUAAAACCAGUGACUGGGGCUAAGUCGUAACAAGGUAACC